CGCAUAUUAACAUACAAACUCGUGCAAGCGAUUAACAAGGAGAGGAUGGAAGCGAACACUGUGAAUGAAGCCAAAGUCUAUAUAUACCAAGUCAAGUCACGCGCAGGUUUGUGGGAGGAGACACGGCCGAGGCGUGGUUUAUGCGUGACACUGCUUGGAGCCAAACUAGAGAAUGUAGAAACAGGGAUUUAGAGAAAACGAGGAAAGGCGGACUAAUUUAAA
Molecule: long non-coding RNA, 222 nt
Organism: Eriocheir sinensis (Chinese mitten crab)
Lineage: Eukaryota; Metazoa; Arthropoda; Malacostraca; Decapoda; Varunidae
Exons: 2
Source: RefSeq, a predicted model, not a curated record